UGCAGAAGAAGAAACAUCUCACAGGAGCAGCUUGGUUCUCAUCCUCCUAUCCCAAGAACAUGAUGGGAUCAUCAUGGCAUAGCAAUUGUGCUCCUUUUAAAUAUACAAAUGAGUGGGAAGGCUGCCAAGUUCUGUAAAUAACAUUUGCCAAGGCUUAAUUCUAGAGAUGGUAGGGAAAAUUCUUCUAUGUUGCCUGGAGAAGUAUCUUCACCCUGGAAAUAGAUCAACUUGAACAGGAAACUACAGACAAAUGGACGACAAUAAGACAAUCUUUUGGGGAGAAUCACCUGGAAAAGCUAAGAAAAACCCCAUAGAUUCUCCCAAGUUUAAGAAAAUACAUUCAUAACAAAAAUCGUGAUGCAAGGAAGCAGCAAGUGUAAAAGGUCGCAGGUGGUCACCACCACAUGGAGGUAAAUCCUUAAGAGGAAGAAGGAAAUGUGAAACAACACCAACAUGGAAACAGACCCUUAUGAAGGAUUUCAAGAAAGGUAAGUCUCACCAUCACUUCAAUCUUAAUGUGGCACAAUAGCCGCAAAGCCAUUUCCCCCCCUCAUCCCCUUUCAAACAGUGCUGGGCUAGUUUGGACAAUUGAUUGAUUGAUUGAUUAAGUGCCGUCAAGUCAGUGUGACUCUUAGCGACCACAUAGAUAAAUUCUCUCCAGGAUGAACUGUCUUUAACGUGGCCUUUAAGGUCUCACAGUGGUGCAUUCAUUGCUGUCGUAAUCCAGUCCAUCCACCUUGCUGCCAGUCGUCCUCGUCUUCUCUUUCCUUCAACUUUCCUUCAACUUGCCUCAAGUGAAAAUUCUGGAUUGAUUUGUUCUAUGACCCAUUUGUUUGUUUUCCUGGCUGUCCAUGGUAUCCUCAAAAGUCUUCUCCAGCACCGAAGUUCAAAAGCGUCAAUACUGCCUCUCAUUUUUAGCCAGCAGAUGAUGAGGGACAUCCAUGUGCAUCACCUGGAACCAGUCCUGUGAGGGAGCCAUGGCCAAUGUACUUAUGAAAGGCAUACAUUCCCAAAAUGAAUUGUUGCAUAAAUACAUUUCAUUUUUUAAUGCACACAUUGCAUUUAGAAUGUUUAGUUGCUACUGGUUUUGUUACACUGUUAUUGCUGUGGAGAGUUGAUUUGUCUUUUAUGACAGUGGCUGGCGUAUCCUACAGUGCAACACAGGUGGUGCAGACCAACCCACACAGCUGUGGGGUUCUAACACACAUGCCGACACUGUUGUGCAAGAGGGCUGUUCCAGGUACAACUUACCUUUGUGAGAUUGCAGGUCAUGUGCUACUUGUGUUGGUAAUGGUGACCUGCAAUCCAGCUGUACUGGAGUAAAUCUCUCAUGCCAUGGCAUCACCAUGUGUGACAUCAUGGGUAGCAGUGAGCAGGGGCGGGGGCAGCUGCCCACCUCAAUGGAGCCAAUACCAUUUAAUUCAAUGGGGCUUAUUCCCCUUUGUAUUCAGUCAGAGGCCCAAAAGUGUGUCAGAGACAGGUCUGCACUGCCUGCAUUAUGCUGCGGGGCAUAUCAGCCACUAUGUUUUUAUUUGUUUGCCUCCUUGGACCAUUUUUUGGGGGAAAGAUAUAAAUACUGAAAAUAAUCAAAUAUGAAACAAACACAUUUGCAGCUUGAACGUUCCCAUGAAUGUAAUUGGUAUAAUUUGGCCCAGAGAUGUGAGCUUUGGGCAGUAUAGAAAUUUGUCAAAUAAAUGUGUUAAAUAAAUAAUUGUUAUGAACAUGGUGGCUGCUAACCAUAGUUGGUUGGAGAUGUGGAACUUAUUCUGUGCUCGCUGUAUGCCUGUCAGUUUGGCCAGCUGAUCUAAGUUCCUUCCAGCUGCCAAAGGGGGAGGGAAUGAAGCAGGGACACAUGGGAGGAAAAGAUUCUUCUCCUUGAGCUUCCUGAGGCCAGCCAGGAUGCUAAUAAGGGAAAGAAUUAAUAAGGCAUGCGAGCAAGGAGAUGGUUUUCCUUAGUUGCAUCAUCUGUUCUCAGUUUCCUGCCUCUGCACAUCACAUAGAACAGCAAGCAAAAGUGAGAUGAAGAUGAUGCUUUCUUUGCUCUGGCACUAGACUGUUCCCAAGAUUACAGUGUCCCGAUAGCAGCAUUCCAGAAGUUAGUCUAACUCUACCCGU
Molecule: long non-coding RNA, 2115 nt
Organism: Hemicordylus capensis (graceful crag lizard)
Lineage: Eukaryota; Metazoa; Chordata; Lepidosauria; Squamata; Cordylidae
Exons: 5
Source: RefSeq, a predicted model, not a curated record